This 180-nucleotide ribosomal RNA is filed under the name uncultured bacterium. RNAcentral's name for it is "partial 16S ribosomal RNA". It matches the Rfam family "Bacterial small subunit ribosomal RNA", at positions 331 to 508 of the family's 1533-position model. The record is from RNAcentral.
ACGAACUCCUACGGGAGGCAGCAGUGAGGAAUAUUGGUCAAUGGGCGAGAGCCUGAACCAGCCAAGUAGCGUGCAGGAUGACGGCCCUAUGGGUUGUAAACUGCAUUUUAUAAGGGAAUAAAGUGAGUCUCGUGAGACUUUUGCAUGUACCUUAUGAAUAAGGACCGGCUAAUUCCGUGC